UAAGUAGAUAGUGAAAGCGUGUGGCUCAACCAUACUCACAUUAUCUAAACUGCAAAGCUAGAAGAUGAGAGAGGUACCUGGAAUUCUCAAUGUAGGAGUGGAAUCCGUAGAUAUUGGGAGGAACACCGAUGGCGUAGGCAGGGUACUGGCUCAUUCUUGACACUAAGGCACGAAAGCGUGGGGAGCAAACGGGAUUAGAUACCCCGGUAGUCCACGCCGUAAACUAUGGAUGCUA
This 235-nucleotide ribosomal RNA is filed under the name uncultured Candidatus Saccharibacteria bacterium. Its description in RNAcentral is "partial 16S ribosomal RNA". It matches the Rfam family "Bacterial small subunit ribosomal RNA", at positions 584 to 818 of the family's 1533-position model. Lineage: Bacteria; Candidatus Saccharimonadota. The record is from RNAcentral.